UGCGUAGGCGGAAUAUUAAGUCAGUGGUGAAAUCCUGCGGCUCAACCGUAGAACUGCCAUUGAUACUGGUAUUCUUGAAUGUAGUUGAGGUAGGCGGAAUGUGUAAUGUAGCGGUGAAAUGCUUAGAUAUUACACAGAACACCGAUUGCGAAGGCAGCUUACUAAACUAUGAUUGACGCUGAGGCACGAAAGCGUGGGGAGCGAACAGGAUUAGAUACCCUGGUAGUCC
This 229-nucleotide ribosomal RNA is filed under the name uncultured bacterium. RNAcentral describes it as "partial 16S ribosomal RNA". It matches the Rfam family "Bacterial small subunit ribosomal RNA", at positions 568 to 796 of the family's 1533-position model. The record is from RNAcentral.